AACGAACGCUGGCGGCAUGCCUAACACAUGCAAGUCGGACGAAACCUUCGGGUCUAGUGGCGCACGGGUGCGUAACGCGUGGGAACCUGCCCUUAGGUUCGGAAUAACUCAGAGAAAUUUGAGCUAAUACCGGAUGAUGUCUUCGGACCAAAGAUUUAUCGCCCUUAGAUGGGCCCGCGUUGGAUUAGCUAGUUGGUGGGGUAAAGGCCUACCAAGGCGACGAUCCAUAGCUGGUCUGAGAGGAUGAUCAGCCACGCUGGGACUGAGACACGGCCCAGACUCCUACGGGAGGCAGCAGUGGGGAAUCUUGGACACCGGGCGAAAGCCUGAUCCAGCAAUGCCGCGUGAGUGAUGAAGGCCUUCGGGUUGUAAAGCUCUUUUACCCGAGAUGAUAAUGCCAGUAUCGGGAGAAUAAGCUCCGGCUAACUCCGUG
Molecule: ribosomal RNA, 433 nt
Filed under: uncultured bacterium
Lineage: Bacteria
Description: partial 16S ribosomal RNA
Rfam family: Bacterial small subunit ribosomal RNA
Source: RNAcentral